GAUCUACUCCCUCGGUCCCAAAAUUCUUGUCUUAGAUUUGUCUAAAUACGGAUGUAUCUAGUUACGUUUUAGUGUUAGAUAGAUACGUAUCUACACAUGUAUAAGACAAGAAUUUUGGGACGGAGGGAGUAUCUG
Non-coding RNA from Triticum aestivum (bread wheat), 135 nucleotides. The record is from Rfam. NCBI's taxonomy places the organism in Eukaryota, Viridiplantae, Streptophyta, Magnoliopsida, Poales, Poaceae.